Gadus morhua (Atlantic cod) is the source of this 1249-nucleotide long non-coding RNA. RefSeq lists it as uncharacterized. Lineage: Eukaryota; Metazoa; Chordata; Actinopteri; Gadiformes; Gadidae. The record is from RefSeq and is a predicted model, not a curated record. The transcript has 5 exons.
CAGAGGUUUGCAUGCUGGACAAAUGAGGCCACAGCAUUGCUCCAAGGAUCACUGCAGCCGAUCUACAGGAUCCCGAAGACCAGAAAAAGGGAUCAUGAGAUGAGAAUGAUGUUGAUGGCAGAGGACACCCAGGGUUAUGCUCCUUUUUGUUAUAGACUCUUUAAUGCAAUUCAGGUUUCUUAUUCUUACAUGUCUAUAUUGAUACAUAAAUAAUUUUCCCUCAAAGGUUCAGUUUGAAAAGGCCGACAGGUGCUUCAUAUUGGAGAUGCCAACAUCUGUGCUUGAUGAAAUCCACAAAGAGGUGGUGCUCCAGGAAGGAGAUAAUGUCUACCUGACAUUGGCCCUGGUGUGUACCACAUUCAGAGACAUUGUGUCCACCAAUUAUUUGAGAAGACGGGCACAUUUUCAGUGGCUUGACAGUGUUGCUACAUGGAGUAGGUUUUCUGCAACGUACAAAAAAGCUUUCUGCACCAUGUACUGACACCUGUAUUGACAUACUGUAUUGACACCUGCCUUGGAUGUGGACGACUAUAUAAAAACUGCACACCAGGAUAUGUUGGGACAGGAAAAAGGGGAGCGCUAGAAGCAAUCUAUUCCGAAGCUGAAGAUCCGGGAUACUGCAAUCACUUCUGCAGCCAAUUGCAAUCGGUGUCCCUCUUGCCUGUCCUCCAGCCCCUGCACGUCGAGAGGAGCAGACACCCGUUUGUGCCCAGAGGACAUUACUCACAUGUUGGACUUUUGAGAAUACUUUGCAAAAUCUCAUGACACUGUUAUUGUUGUAAAUAUAUAUAUAUAGUUAUAUGUCCUUAAGAUGUUCAUGUUAAUGUUUGUGUUGUUGUUUCUGCAUACAAGGUUGACCUGUACUUAGUUUGUUUCGAUUGAAUAUGCAUGUUAAGUAUUACCUUAGUUUGUUUCACUAGUCACUUUUGUUGUACAUAGUAACUUUAAAUUGUUACCUUUUUUCCACAUUUGUAUAUAGUCACUGUUAGUACCUGGAAGCAGUAGGAGUGAGCUGCCUUUUCUUUUGACUUGUUUUCUCAUGUUUUUUCAUAGUUUAGGAUGUUAGUUUUAGUGAUGGUCUUUUUUAUUAUUUACUUUGACAUAGGGUUUAGGUAGCUUGAACUUCCCUUUAAAAUCUAGUUUGUUUUGUUUAAUUAUUUUGGCCUUGGUUCACUCCGAAGAGAAGCUUCAUUUUCAGUUUGGUGUAUUGUUUGUGUGCUAAGCAGCAAUAAACUGCUUGUCAUUUUGA